RNAcentral lists this long non-coding RNA (2414 nucleotides) under Olea europaea subsp. europaea. The record is from RNAcentral. Lineage: Eukaryota; Viridiplantae; Streptophyta; Magnoliopsida; Lamiales; Oleaceae.
CCCAGACAUAGCAAACUUCCAAGCAUGAAACAAAACUCUGGGGGAUAUAAUCUACAUAAAUAAUGUUAGUAAAUAAACAAGGCGCAAUUGCGCAAAUGCUUGAAAAUUAAAUCUUAGCCAUACCGGGUAACUUUCUCUGUCCUUGCCCAUAACAUUAAGGAGAAACAGAAUCACGGCAACCUCCCCUCAUCUCUUGUAAGUAAAAAAGCUGCUGCUGCUCCAUUUUCUGAAAGUGUUUUUGCUACGUUUUACUUCUUGAGGAAGCCACUCAUAUGAGCUAGUAGCCAGAUCUCAAGAUAAUAUAAUAAUUAUAUGUCAUUGUGUCCCAAAAAAAAGUAAAAUGCCACUUCGUGAGUAUAUAUUUGCAUAAAUAAAUAAAGUUUUAAACUCACCAGUACUUCCAGAUGGACCAGUGUCAAAAGAUGACGCUGGAGCAUGUAGUACAUCAUUUUAUAUUUAACCGAAGACUGAAGAAGGCAACAAUGACUGAUCUGAUUGCCACCAGAAUUGACGCAACGAGAGCUAGGAUUGAGUAAAUGAUAUCAUAAACAGAGAGUUUAAAAAUAUGGUCUUCAAAAGUCUCGUACGCUUGUGGCGCGACUCAACCUCAUUUGAAUACCCUAUCUUAUAAGUUACAAUAUUUGACCGACUAUGAUUUAUAUAAUAAGGCCUUCGUUGAGACCUCUAUCAAGCAGUAUUUUUCCUCAGAUCGAUCGAGAGUACAGCCCAAGUAUGUCUAGAUUUCGUUUGAGAUUAAUUUCCUUUACGAGUUGAGCCCGAAUGUCAUCCUCGUCAAAGAAUAUUUCAUCUUGUGGGUUUAAUAAAGCCCAAGCGAGUCUCGGCCCAAUUUACACACAAGUCCAAGUGAGUCUCAACCUAGUUUGAACGUAUCCCCUCGCAAAGACCGAGUUCAGACUUAGUCUUGACCUCUUUCGAGUAUAAUUCUAAAGCCAUGUCAAGUCCAAGAGCAACCACUGAUCAAUAGAGACAAGCUUUCAACCUUAUAAUUCAUCAUAAGGACUCGAGGAAGUCUCGGCCUUGUUUGAGCAUAAUUACAAUUGUCGCCCUGUUCGAGCAUAAUUACAAUUGUCGAAUGAAAAUAUUCCAUUUAAUAAGGACCCUUAGAAUCCUAGUCAAAUCUAGAUAACUACGGGACACAAUAAUUUAUUUGAUCACGCACAUUUACCAAGUUGGACUAGAAAAUGCAAUGACAAUUACAAAAUGUUUUUUGAUUAGGAAAGAGAUACUAAAUGAGUUCGGAGAAAACUAAAAUAAACAUCAAUUAAAAUGAUCUUACCAUAGUGAGACUCAUGUAUGAUGAUAUUGUUUAUGGUAAUUGCUUUCUGUACAACUCUAAUUUGAGUUCUUGCAUAGGUAAAAAAUGUAGUAAAAGAAAUGAUCAUAUCCAGAGCUUACUUUCCAGCAAUAAGAUUCACAUGUAUGUGAGAAAAGAAAAUAAUAGAUCACACGUAACAUUUCAAUGAGUUCCAUAUUUUGUAUGAAAACACCACACAUCAUAUUCUUAAAUUUUGAUAGAUACAUAUUAACAUUGAAGAAGGUUAGCAGCAGCACGUUCAAAGUAGAAACGAAAUGUCUCAAAUAUUUGAUUGGGACAAAAUUAAUAAACACAAUCUUUUAAGCAAAAACAGAUGGGAUGGAAGAUGAUAAUGAUUAUGAGCAAAACAAACAAUGAAGUUCACUGCUGUUUAUGUUUUAAAUACAAGUUAAUGCAGAGUAUUUAUCCUGCAUAUUAUGGAAAUCAUGUUUAUUUGGAUUUAUUACAGGGUUAAAGAGACAUGCAAAUCAGUAUUAAAGAGACGAUGUCCCUGUUUUUUGGAAAGCACGCUUCAAUAGGCUUCUCAUUGUUUCAGUAAAAUAGAUGAUGUUUUAAAAAAAAAUAAAAAAUAAAAAAAUUCAUGUUUGCAGCUCUAACAAUUUCAUAUAUGAAUCAUGUCUUUGUUAGCAUAUAAUGGCGUUAAAGGGAGAAAGGCUGGAAAAAUAACAAAUAGAAAUUGUAGGUAAACAAUGACAGAUUUGACGAGAUGAUUACCCGAAUUGUAGGUUCUCUUUUUUAGCUUUUGAUGUAAGCCACUUCUCAUGCUGGACUGGAUUGUGCUCACUUACUUCCAUCUGGAAUUACACUUAAUAUCACCCAGAUAGCAAGAAAGGUAAAUUUCUUUAACAAAGUCAGCUAAAUUUUUGUUUUAGCCAAUCUAGCAGACAUGCAUGGACUCAAAUAACCCUUCAUUUGGUCGAAAGAUGGAAUCGGUUAAUUUUUGUCUUUGUCGGGUUAAGAGUGUCUCAGCAGAAUUUAGAACUUUUGACGCUUCUAUAUAUCAACAUUUUCAAUCAGGAAUGUGUCUUUUUCUAAGUCAAUAUAUGUUUAAUUCCUGUUUUUUGGAAAAGCGCACAAG